CUCAGGACGAACGCUGGCGGCGUGCCUAAUACAUGCAAGUCGAGCGGAACCAUUGGAGCUUGCUCCUUUGGUUUAGCGGCGGACGGGUGAGUAACACGUGGGCAACCUGCCCUGCAGAUCGGGAUAACUCCGGGAAACCGGUGCUAAUACCGAAUAGUUUGCGGCCUCUCAUGAGGCUGUACGGAAAGACGGUUUCGGCUGUCACUGCAGGAUGGGCCCGCGGCGCAUUAGCUAGUUGGUGAGGUAACGGCUCACCAAGGCCACGAUGCGUAGCCGACCUGAGAGGGUGAUCGGCCACACUGGGACUGAGACACGGCCCAGACUCCUACGGGAGGCAGCAGUAGGGAAUCUUCCGCAAUGGACGAAAGUCUGACGGAGCAACGCCGCGUGAGUGAAGAAGGUUUUCGGAUCGUAAAACUCUGUUGUGAGGGAAGAACAAGUACCAAU
This 447-nucleotide ribosomal RNA is filed under the name Planococcus maritimus. RNAcentral's name for it is "bacterial SSU rRNA". It matches the Rfam family "Bacterial small subunit ribosomal RNA", at positions 23 to 460 of the family's 1533-position model. The record is from RNAcentral. Lineage: Bacteria; Bacillati; Bacillota; Bacilli; Caryophanales; Caryophanaceae.